GCCUGGGUGGCUCAGUCGGUUGAGCGUCCGACUUUGGCUCGGGUCAUGAUCUCCCGAUCAUGGUUUGUGGGUUUGAGCCCCACAUCAGGCU
RNAcentral lists this transfer RNA (91 nucleotides) under Felis catus (domestic cat). It matches the Rfam family "tRNA". Rfam says of the family: Transfer RNA (tRNA) molecules are approximately 80 nucleotides in length. Their secondary structure includes four short double-helical elements and three loops (D, anti-codon, and T loops). Further hydrogen bonds mediate the characteristic L-shaped molecular structure. tRNAs have two regions of fundamental functional importance: the anti-codon, which is responsible for specific mRNA codon recognition, and the 3' end, to which the tRNAs corresponding amino acid is attached (by aminoacyl-tRNA synthetases). tRNAs cope with the degeneracy of the genetic code in two manners: having more than one tRNA (with a specific anti-codon) for a particular amino acid; and 'wobble' base-pairing, i.e. permitting non-standard base-pairing at the 3rd anti-codon position. The record is from Rfam by way of RNAcentral. Lineage: Eukaryota; Metazoa; Chordata; Mammalia; Carnivora; Felidae.